CUAAGAAUAUUCCGCAAUGGACGAAAGUCUGACGGAGCGACGCCGCGUGGAUGAAGAAGGCCGAAAGGUUGUAAAAUCCUUUUGCUGAGGAAGAAUAACCAUGGGAGGGAAUGCCCGUGGGAUGACAUGAAUCGGCGAAUAAGCCCCGGCCAACUACGUG
This 160-nucleotide ribosomal RNA is filed under the name uncultured bacterium. Its description in RNAcentral is "partial 16S ribosomal RNA". It matches the Rfam family "Bacterial small subunit ribosomal RNA", at positions 355 to 507 of the family's 1533-position model. The record is from RNAcentral.